Mycena rosella is the source of this 93-nucleotide non-coding RNA. The record is from the annotation of a GenBank genome assembly. Lineage: Eukaryota; Fungi; Basidiomycota; Agaricomycetes; Agaricales; Mycenaceae.
GCGGAUGUGGUGCACGGUGCACGGCUGCAAUUCUUAAUUGGGUGUGCAAAACUGUGAGAGCAGCAAGACGGGGUUCGACUCCCCGCGUCCGCG